GUAAGCGCGUUAGUUAGCAAUUAUACCGUGAAACUGCGAAUGGCUCAUUAAAUCAGUUAUCGUUUAUUUGAUAAUACCUUACUACUUGGAUAACCGUGGUAAUUCUAGAGCUAAUACAUGCUGAAAAUCCCGACUUCGGAAGGGAUGUGUUUAUUAGAUAAAAAACCAAUGCCCUUCGGGGCUUUUUGGUGAUUCAUGAUAACUUUACGGAUCGCAUAGCCUUGCGCUGGCGACGGUUCAUUCAAAUUUCUGCCCUAUCAACUUUCGAUGGUAAGGUAUUGGCUUACCAUGGUUUCAACGGGUAACGGGGAAUUAGGGUUCGAUUCCGGAGAGGGAGCCUGAGAAACGGCUACCACAUCCAAGGAAGGCAGCAGGCGCGCAAAUUACCCAAUCCCGACACGGGGAGGUAGUGACAAUAAAUACUGAUACAGGGCUCUUUUGGGUCUUGUAAUUGGAAUGAGUACAAUUUAAACCUCUUAACGAGGAACAAUUGGAGGGCAAGUCUGGUGCCAGCAGCCGCGGUAAUUCCAGCUCCAAUAGCGUAUAUUAAAGUUGUUGCAGUUAAAAAGCUCGUAGUUGAAACUUGGGCCUGGCUGGCGGGUCCGCCUCACCGCGUGCACUCGUCCGGCCGGGCCUUCCUUCUGAAGAACCUCAUGCCCUUCACUGGGCGUGCUGGGGAAUCAGGACUUUUACUUUGAAAAAAUUAGAGUGUUCAAAGCAGGCCUUUGCUCGAAUACGUUAGCAUGGAAUAAUAAAAUAGGGCGUGCGGUUCUAUUUUGGUGGGUUCUAAAGACGCCGCAAUGAUUAACAGGAACAGUCGGGGGCAUCAGUAUUCAGUUGUCCGAGGUGAAAUUCC
This 856-nucleotide ribosomal RNA is filed under the name Alternaria alternata. Its description in RNAcentral is "SSU rRNA". It matches the Rfam family "Eukaryotic small subunit ribosomal RNA", at positions 62 to 920 of the family's 1831-position model. The record is from RNAcentral. Lineage: Eukaryota; Fungi; Ascomycota; Dothideomycetes; Pleosporales; Pleosporaceae.